RNAcentral lists this ribosomal RNA (661 nucleotides) under Limosilactobacillus reuteri. RNAcentral describes it as "bacterial SSU rRNA". It matches the Rfam family "Bacterial small subunit ribosomal RNA", at positions 797 to 1456 of the family's 1533-position model. Lineage: Bacteria; Bacillati; Bacillota; Bacilli; Lactobacillales; Lactobacillaceae. RNAcentral also lists the same sequence under 1 other name. The record is from RNAcentral.
AUGCCGUAAACGAUGAGUGCUAGGUGUUGGAGGGUUUCCGCCCUUCAGUGCCGGAGCUAACGCAUUAAGCACUCCGCCUGGGGAGUACGACCGCAAGGUUGAAACUCAAAGGAAUUGACGGGGGCCCGCACAAGCGGUGGAGCAUGUGGUUUAAUUCGAAGCUACGCGAAGAACCUUACCAGGUCUUGACAUCUUGCGCUAACCUUAGAGAUAAGGCGUUCCCUUCGGGGACGCAAUGACAGGUGGUGCAUGGUCGUCGUCAGCUCGUGUCGUGAGAUGUUGGGUUAAGUCCCGCAACGAGCGCAACCCUUGUUACUAGUUGCCAGCAUUAAGUUGGGCACUCUAGUGAGACUGCCGGUGACAAACCGGAGGAAGGUGGGGACGACGUCAGAUCAUCAUGCCCCUUAUGACCUGGGCUACACACGUGCUACAAUGGACGGUACAACGAGUCGCAAGCUCGCGAGAGUAAGCUAAUCUCUUAAAGCCGUUCUCAGUUCGGACUGUAGGCUGCAACUCGCCUACACGAAGUCGGAAUCGCUAGUAAUCGCGGAUCAGCAUGCCGCGGUGAAUACGUUCCCGGGCCUUGUACACACCGCCCGUCACACCAUGGGAGUUUGUAACGCCCAAAGUCGGUGGCGCUAACCUUUAUGGAGGGAGCCGC